RNAcentral lists this transfer RNA (78 nucleotides) under Sphaerobolus stellatus SS14. RNAcentral describes it as "tRNA-Asp (GTC) (tRNA-Asp-GTC-14-1)". The stretch from base 9 to 75 matches the Rfam family "tRNA". Rfam says of the family: Transfer RNA (tRNA) molecules are approximately 80 nucleotides in length. The record is from RNAcentral. Lineage: Eukaryota; Fungi; Basidiomycota; Agaricomycetes; Geastrales; Sphaerobolaceae.
UCUUCAAGUUAGGUAGUAUAGUGGUUAGUAUUCGCGCCUGUCACGCGCGAGACCGGGGUUCAAUUCCCCGCCUGAGAG